UGAGGAAUAUUGCGCAAUGGGGGAAACCCUGACGCAGCGAUGCCGCGUGAGUGAAGAAGGCCUUCGGGUCGUAAAGCUCUGUCAAACGGGAAGAACAGUCUGGGGACGAAUAAUCUCCGGGCCUGACGGUACCGUUGAAGGAAGCACCGGCUAACUCCGUGCCAGCAGCCGCGGUAAGACGGAGGGUGCGAGCGUUAUUCGGAUUUAUUGGGUGUAAAGAGUGUGUAGGCGGUCGAUCAAGUCUGAUGUGAAAGCCCGGGGCUUAACCUCGGAAGGGCGUUGGAAACUGGUCGACUUGAGUUCGGGAGAGGAAAGCGGAAUUCCGGGUGUAGAGGUGAAAUUCGUAGAUAUCCGGAGGAACACCGGUGGCGAAGGCGGCUUUCUGGACCGAAACUGACGCUGAGACACGAAAGCGUGGGGAGCAAACAGG
This 430-nucleotide ribosomal RNA is filed under the name bacterium. RNAcentral describes it as "partial 16S ribosomal RNA". It matches the Rfam family "Bacterial small subunit ribosomal RNA", at positions 355 to 776 of the family's 1533-position model. The record is from RNAcentral.